Molecule: ribosomal RNA, 253 nt
Filed under: uncultured bacterium
Lineage: Bacteria
Description: partial 16S ribosomal RNA
Rfam family: Bacterial small subunit ribosomal RNA
Source: RNAcentral
UACGUAGGGUGCGAGCGUUAAUCGGAAUUACUGGGCGUAAAGCGUGCGCAGGCGGUUCGUUAAGUCAGAUGGGAAAGCCCCGGGCUCAACCUGGGAACUGCAUUUGAAACUGGCGGGCUUGAGUGUGGCAGAGGGGGGUGGAAUUCCGCGUGUAGCAGUGAAAUGCGUAGAGAUGUGGAGGAACACCGAUGGCGAAGGCAGCCCCCUGGGUCAACACUGACGCUCAUGCACGAAAGCGUGGGGAGCAAACAGG